This 90-nucleotide transfer RNA is filed under the name Desulforamulus aquiferis. RNAcentral describes it as "Desulfotomaculum aquiferis tRNA-Ser". It matches the Rfam family "tRNA". From Rfam's summary of the family: Transfer RNA (tRNA) molecules are approximately 80 nucleotides in length. Their secondary structure includes four short double-helical elements and three loops (D, anti-codon, and T loops). Further hydrogen bonds mediate the characteristic L-shaped molecular structure. tRNAs have two regions of fundamental functional importance: the anti-codon, which is responsible for specific mRNA codon recognition, and the 3' end, to which the tRNAs corresponding amino acid is attached (by aminoacyl-tRNA synthetases). tRNAs cope with the degeneracy of the genetic code in two manners: having more than one tRNA (with a specific anti-codon) for a particular amino acid; and 'wobble' base-pairing, i.e. permitting non-standard base-pairing at the 3rd anti-codon position. Lineage: Bacteria; Bacillati; Bacillota; Clostridia; Eubacteriales; Peptococcaceae. The record is from RNAcentral.
GGAGUGGUACUCAAGUGGCUGAAGAGGACGGUUUGCUAAACCGUUAGUGGUCGCAAGGCCAGCGAGGUUCAAAUCCCUCCCACUCCGCCA